This 1107-nucleotide long non-coding RNA is filed under the name Callithrix jacchus (white-tufted-ear marmoset). Its description in RNAcentral is "lncRNA (ENSCJAG00000075034.1)". Lineage: Eukaryota; Metazoa; Chordata; Mammalia; Primates; Cebidae. The record is from RNAcentral.
AUGUUAUACUUUCCAAGGUGCUUCCCCUACAAUUACCUUCUAGAAUUCUCAGAGCUAUCCUGUGAUAGUAGGCUGGGCUCUAUUUAUUGUUCUCGUUUUACAGAUGAUGAAACUGAGGAUGAGAAAGGACAAGGACACAGGACCACAGAGACAGUGGGAGAGGUAGGAGCAGAUCACGACUUCCUUAUAAUUGCCCGAUUAUCUUCGCACCAGAGCACAUUAUAUCCGGCCAAAUUGACUUUUCACAAGAAUCUUACUGUGUUACCUAGACUGGAGCACAAUGGCACGAUCUCGGCACACUGCAACCUCCACUUCCAUGUUCAAGCGAUUCUCCUGCCUCAGACUCCUGAUUAGCUGGGAUUACAGGCACCCACCACCAUAUCCAGGUAUUUUUUUGUAUUUUCAGUAGAGAUGUGGUUUCACCAUGUUGGCCAGACUGGUCUUGAACUCCUGACCUCAAAUGAUCCUCCCACUUCAGCCUCCCAAAAUGCUGGGAUUAUAGGCGUGAGCCACCACACCCAGCCACAUCAUUUCAUAAUACAUCAUUACAUAUACUAAGCACACACCCAUUUUUUUCUCUUAAAUGAUUGUUUCAAAUCAUCUAUAGUUUUUUCGUUAUUUUUUAAUUCCAUGUGUCAGACCUAUCUUAUCUUGUUCUUUUGCUCCAUUUUCAACAGUCUGUUCCCUGAGUCUGAUACAAAAUGAUUCACCUAGAACUUCUUUCCAACAUAACUGUAUGACUUAUUUAUGAGAUUUUUUCUAAUAUGAAGAAUUAUUAAUUAAAACAUGAUAUUGCAGUAAUGAGGAAUUAGCUGGUAAAAGGUAAAGAUAGCAGAUAUAGGUAGGGCCACAAUCCCUAGGGUUAUAAUAGAACAUCAAGGAAAAAUCUCUCCCUUACUUCUCAGGUGGAUCUACAUUUCACUGGAGACGACGUGACCAUGGAUCACUGAGUGGUAGAGAAGUUCACAGAGGUGCUUUGCCAGCAGGACUUACCACAGUCUGUACUCCGUAGUGCCAUGGUGUAGCCUUCCACAGAGAGGUACCAUGCCUAUAAACACAACAUAAAACCACAUGAAAGCAUUCUGGAGAAGUGAGGGAGGUCCCCUG